This 460-nucleotide unclassified non-coding RNA is filed under the name Hevea brasiliensis (rubber tree). Lineage: Eukaryota; Viridiplantae; Streptophyta; Magnoliopsida; Malpighiales; Euphorbiaceae. The record is from RNAcentral.
GUUGACAUUUGUAUAUAUUUCAAAUGUUCAAACAUAAGAAAAGAUGAAAACAUCUCAUGAAUCUUUAUUUUUAGAUUGAUAUAAGUCAAAGAAAAGUGAGAACAGAAGGCCAAUGCCACUAGUUUAUCAGACAGUUGUAAAACAUUAAUCAAAUUACUCAUUUAGAUAAUCAAAAUCUAGUUUUUCUUUUACAAUUCUAUUUCUAAUAUUCACUCACUAUUUUUCCAACAGAUCUAAGAAACAGAAUGCUUGAGCAAAUCAGAGUUCAGACAAAGUAUAGGAAUAUAUAUAGCCAACAUAUGAUAAGCUCUCAGGGCUCAGCCUACAAGGUCAAUAAAAGCCCGUUCUUCAAUGUAUGAUGUUGACAAAAUAACCGACUCUAACAGUAUUCUGAUGAAGAUGAUAUAAUGCUUUUGAUCUUGCCAUCACCAUCUUCCAAAAGCUAGAGCAUGAUUACAAC